CCUGCUUCUGUCACACCAAGUUUGUACAGAUUAAUGAUAUUAGGCCCGAGUCGCAGGCAGCGGUCUUAAAGGCACAGCAACCCGUGCAAACAAACAAUGCCAGCAGAGAGGGAGGGAGGGACAGAUGAAAGGAGGUAGGGAGAAAUGGCAUACUACUUGCCAGUCACUGGGCUGUAAGCAGAUGGCAUGAUGGAGGAGAGAAAGAGAGAGAGAAAGAAAGAAGGGAAGAGAGAGCGGCUGAAACCAUCGGAUGGACUGAUGUUGGAGAAGGGAGGAGGGGAGAAGGGAAAACAGCCGACAGAUGACUGUUCAAUUAAAAAGGGCACUUCAGGGUGGAGAGAGGCAAAAGAAAAGGGAACGAGAGAGAGCAAAACAGAGAGAGGGAGGAGGGACGAGGGAGAACGAGAAGGGAAGACACUUGAGGAUUGUGUGGAACAGAUUACUGGAAGCGUGUGGACAAAACACACUACGCCGUCGUAUCCAGAGAUUUUCACACUAUCACGACUCGCGGGCAAUCGUACAAACACACACGACACGUACACGCGCAUAUGCGACGGCUCGGAUAAGGUGUUCGCGGCUGCACUGUUUGUGUUUUCAUCCAUCUGUGUGCCUGGUGGUGACAUAUCAGCCAAGUGCCUCAAUCAAUGACACACUCUGGGGGUACUGAGAGCCCGCCCCGUCAGCUUUUUAACCCCUUGCAAGUAACAGAUCCGCUUUCAAACUCCCAGUGGUACUAAUGCCAGCCACCAUCAGCACCACCACAAAAUCUGCUCUGGGGCAGGAGGUGAAACAGAGCCCACACCUCCCCAGUCCCCAACAAAUCUCUGUGAGAAGAUCUCCACGUAUCCAUUACGUACCCUGCUGCGACUGGGGGAGACCGUGGCAAUGAGGUCGCUCAUUUAGCACUAACUUUGGAAGCCAAGGUCAACUACUGUAUUACCUAGACAAGGCAAUGUCCAAAUGAGUGUGUUAGCAAAUGCGAUCUGGCACAUUUAGUUGUGGUGACACAAGUUUGAG
This is a long non-coding RNA of Cyprinus carpio carpio, 1017 nucleotides long. The record is from Ensembl. NCBI's taxonomy places the organism in Eukaryota, Metazoa, Chordata, Actinopteri, Cypriniformes, Cyprinidae.